RNAcentral lists this long non-coding RNA (2145 nucleotides) under Eptatretus burgeri (inshore hagfish). Its description in RNAcentral is "lncRNA (ENSEBUG00000017132.1)". Lineage: Eukaryota; Metazoa; Chordata; Myxini; Myxiniformes; Myxinidae. The record is from RNAcentral.
CAUCGAUGCAUCUUGGACAGCAAGGUCUGUUCUCCAGCGGAAUAGCAGCAUUUCAUGUCACUACUGCCCCCCCCCACCACCAUCCUGCACACCCCCUCCUUUCUUCCACAUCCCAUUUAGAUGCAGGGUUUGCAUUCGCAAUGGCCGUCUGAGGAGUGCUUUCACGCGAGAUGCCCCGUAUGACCGUGACACAUUUUGCAUGAAGCGGCAGACGAGUCCAAGUAGGUUGGAAAGGACAAUCAUACGGAUAAGCCAGACCGAAUGGGCCACCACCUUCCAGCUGCUGUGCCAAGCCAUCAGAGAGAUCUACUGUCCUGGUUGACAAGGCUACAGGUAUGAUAAUAUGAUCAUAUGGUGGUGAUGCUGGAUGCAGAACUGUGCAGCUCAAGCUACAUGAUUAUACUCUGAUUGAUAAUAAUCAGCGCUGCAUUCAGGCUGCGAUUUAAAAAUGACCCCGACGCUGUACUGAAGGACAAACUUUUUGCAGUCCAUCUUGGGAGAUGGCAAAUGCUCAGCACCUGAACGACAUAUGACUGGUAGAUAAGUACUUCUUGUCAUAUUUAUUUUGAUUUUUCUAUUUUUACAGUAAUUUUUUUUAUGUUGAUCAUUGUCGAGCAUUCAUUAAUGCCUUCAUUUCUUGUUCCUCCCACCAAUUGUGUGAUAUCCGAGGCAGUUAUGACACGUGUGCCCUGGACAAUUUGUUUGAGGACAACGUGCUUUUCCAGAACACGGUUCUCCCCCUUUGAGAACGUUGCACAGGUACCAGCUUGCUCUCUUCUGGCGUGAUGGGAAACGUGGUGACUUGUUGCAAGAUAUGUCCGAAGAUUUCUCUGGAUCGGACUCGACAGGAUGACACCAUCUCGCUGCUUUCCAAUGAGCCCAGUGCUUCUUGGUCUCCAGUUCUGUCAUUUCAUUCAGCACCGGAGCCUGUUUCAAAAAUGGGGCAGACGGUCCCUCCGCUUGAGUCUUGCUGUGCUGCCAGCAGUGAGAGUGGUGGAAGUGGGGCACGAAUGCCCGAUGUGGUGCAAAGUGUUGGUACUCCAACGAGUAUAUUAGGCCGAAAUCUUAACCCCUUUGCUUGCUGCAAUCCUUUGCUGCAAGGGAUUGGGCAACAUGAAGCAGACAUUGCUUGUGCUGCUUCUGCUGCAAUCACAGGCACUGGCCCUUCAAACUGGACCUGUAUGGUACCGCCAUCUGGCUGCCAAGCACAAUGGCCAUGGGUUCCCGGUGACCGCAGAGAGACGGCAUGUGGAAUCGAGCUCAACCCAUUUUCGCUUAAUGCCAUGCUGGCAGUUCAGGAUUGGAGGCGGACAUUUUCUGGUGAAGCAAGCGGAGACGUUGGUGCUGCAGGCUUGCACACCAUGCCACCUGUGGCAGGAGCUGGGGAAGCUCGUGCUAGUGUGCCACCUCUAAUCUAUGACAACCGUUUGAUGCAACUUGUGGGAGAACAUGGCUUUUGCAGUGGCUGUAUCGAAGCAGCACUCUGCAGUCAUUGUUCAGGCUCGAGGGCCGAUGGUCUUAACUUAAGUCGUGCAGGAGUCCCAUUGGGUCUUUCCUCCAAUUUUGGCAUGACAAGAGGAAGCACUGAGGCACCAUGUCUCCUUGCCACCCGAGGUACUAUUCCGGCAUCAGACAGUGUCUUACAUGGCAUAGAAACAGAGGCCCAGCAAGGUUAUAGAGCAUCACUGCCUCCCGGGUUCCGCAGUAUGAUUUCUGAUCCAGAUGCUUGGUCGGAUGGUGAUAGGCCAGUUGACAUUGGACAGUGCUGUGGAGAGAUGGGCUGCAGCUGUGAAAACAUCGUGAAGAGAGUUUGUGAUGUCAAGGCCAGGCAAGGUUUUGAGCAAACCUCAAGGUCUGUCACAGGCGAAAGGGCCACAUCAUUGUCUGAUAUCUUUUCUGUGCCACAAGCCACGGGAAAAGGUAAAAGGAGAAAGAAGAAGAGACGUGGAUCGUCUUCAAGGAAAGACCCAGGGUGUCCGACUGAGGAGCUGCCGGCUCUGGAUGCAGCCUUCCCUGUCAAGAUCUCUGCACCUGGUGGAGACAACUUUGAGCUGCAGGUUUGUAUUUGUCUGCACUUGCCUUUUGAAACCUAAAAACGGUGUUAUGUUGUUUGAGUGUCUAAUAUGGCCAAACUGUCAUCAUUCU